Molecule: small nucleolar RNA, 94 nt
Organism: Salvia splendens (bonfire salvia)
Lineage: Eukaryota; Viridiplantae; Streptophyta; Magnoliopsida; Lamiales; Lamiaceae
Product: small nucleolar RNA snoR27
Exons: 1
Source: RefSeq, a predicted model, not a curated record
GAAGGAUCGAUGAUGCAUUAGUUUAAAACUGCUUUAUCUAUCUGAUAUUUCCGAUUCGGAAUUGAAGAUACUCUUCUAGCUCCUGAGAUCCUUU